This 468-nucleotide ribosomal RNA is filed under the name uncultured bacterium. RNAcentral describes it as "partial 16S ribosomal RNA". It matches the Rfam family "Bacterial small subunit ribosomal RNA", at positions 28 to 507 of the family's 1533-position model. The record is from RNAcentral.
GACGAACGCUGGCGGCGUGCUUAACACAUGCAAGUCGAACGGAAACGCCCUGCUUUUGUGGGGUGCUCGGGUGGCGAACGGGUGAGUAACACGUGAGUAACCUGCCCUUCACUUUGGGAUAACUUCAGGAAACUGGGGUUAAUACCGUAUAGGAUCUCCUGUUGCAUGGAGGGGGUUGGAAAGUUUGGGCGGUUGGGGAUGGACGCGCGGCUUAUCAGCUUGUUGGUGGGGUAGUGGCUUACCAAGGCUUGGACGGGUAGCCGGCCUGGGAGGGUGACCGGCCACCUUGGGACUGAGGUACGGCCCAGACUCCUACGGGAGGCAGCAGUGGGGAAUAUUGCACAAUGGGCGGAAGCCUGAUGCAGCAACGCCGCGUGCGGGAUGACGGCCUUCGGGUUGUAAACCGCUUUCGCCUGUGACGAAGCGUGAGUGACGGUAAUGGGUGAAGAAGCACCGGCUAACUACGUG